GGAGUUCAGUAGGCACGCGAGUCGUUGACGUUUUUCAUUGAACAGUCGAAGGCGAAAUGAAAGUGUUCAUGAAAAUGAACAGUACUUUUCUAUGGAGUGCUGCUCGUUUUCAACAUGAUCGUCCUUUUUUGUGCUUAAUUGUGCAAAAUUGAUAGAUGGGGACGCGCAGUGUGGUGCCGUUGAAUAGUCGCACUGUUUCUCCUUCUCUUCGGGGUUGGAGGGACAAUUGUCGAUCAGUCGGUUUCGGAGCGUGCACACUGGUACCCGAAAGAUGGUGAACUAUGCUUGAGCAGAAUGAAGCCAGAGGAAACUCUGGUGGAAGUUCGUAGCGGUGUUGACGUGCAAAUCACUCGUCUGACUUGAGUGUAGGGGCGAAAGACUAAUCGAACCAUCUAGUUGCUGGUUCCUUCCGAAGUUUCCCUCAGGAUAGCUGGCAUUUGUGUGUAACAAUUUUAUCCGGUAGAGCGAAUGAUUAGAGGUGUUGGGAACGCAAUGUUCUCAGCCUAUUCUCAAACUUCGAAUGGGUAAGCAAGGCGAUUUGCUUUGAUCUUUUUAUGAAAUCGCCCCUCCAAUUUGUUGAAGAAUGUAUAAAUGCCUAGUGGGCCAAUUUUGGUAAGCAGAACUGGCGAUGUGGAAUGAACCAAAAGUCAGGUUAAGGUGCCAGACAUUGGCGCUCAUGAAAUACCAGAAAAGGUGUUGGUCGAUAUAGACAGCAGGACGGUGGCCAUGGAAGUCGGAAUCCGCCAAGGAGUGUGUAACAACUCACCUGCCGAAUCGACUAGCCCUGAAAAUGGAUAGCGUUUGAGCGCCAGGCCCAUACCUGACCGUCUCAGCUACGCACUUUUGCUGGUUUCUCCGGUGAAGGUGUAAUGAACGUUGAGACGGGUAGGAAGGUCGCGACAGUGUUGCUUUGAAGAGUUUUGAGCGUGAGCUCGCUCGGAGCCGCUGUUGGUGCAGAUCUUGGUGGUAGUAGCAAAUAUUCAAGUGAGAACCUUGAAGGCUGAAGUGGAGCAAGGUUCCAUGUGAACAGCAGUUGGACAUGGGUCAGUCGAUCCUAAGAAAACGGCGAAAGCUUGUUCGAAUUUACGACAUAAAAUUUAAAACUGUGUAUGCAAAAGAAAGUAGUGUAGUGUUGGUAGCAGCAGCAGCAGUUGUGGUAGUGGUGGUGGUGGUGGUGGUGGUGGUGUGCCGCCGCCGCCGCCGCCGAAACUACUUUUUGCUGCUGUUGCGUUGCUACAAUCUUGGUGUUUUUGUUCUGUGCAGUUGUCGUAUGUUUUCGAAAGGGAAUCCGGUUGAUAUUCCGGAACCGAGUAACGGAGACAAAGAGUAGCGCUUUAAUCUCUUUCGGGUUGGCGUUCAACUCAAUCGCGCGGUAACGCAAGCGAACUCGGAAAAUGACCGUCGUGAGUUUCGAAAAGAGUUUUCUUUUCUUUUUAAGGGACGCAUUCCCUGGAACCGGGUUGUCCGGAGAUAGGGAUUCUGGUAUCCAUAAAACGCCGACUCUUUCACGGUGUUCGGAGCGCUCUCGUCGGUACGUGAAAAUCCGAGCGACGCCUGGUAAAUCUCGUACUUGGUCGUACUGAUAUCCGCAGCAGGUCUCCAAGGUGAAUAGCCUCUGGCCGAUAGAAUAAUGUAGGUAAGGGAAGUCGGCAAAACGGAUCCGUAACUUCGGAACAAGGAUUGGCUCUAAGGGCUGGGCCGAUCGGGCUGAGGUUUCAAGCGUGCAGUGUAUGCUUGGCUGAGUUGUGUUGAGGAUUGAUUCGCUUGGUGCCGUUUGUUGAACCAAUCGGCUAUCCAGGUGGUCAUGUCUGAAGCAAAGCUGGCCGACAGACCGGCACGUGCAGAACCUGAGCUGCGCGGCUGUCAGUUCAUUUGUACAGACCGUUUCGGUCGGCAUUCAACAGCCAACUUAGAACUGGCACGGACACAAGGAAUCUGACUGUAUAAUUAAAACAAAGCAUUGCGAUGGCCGAUGAUCGGUGUUGACGCAAUGUGAUUUCUGCCCAGUGCUCUGAAUGUCAAAGUGAAGAAAUUCAAUCAAGCGCGGGUAAACGGCGGGAGUAACUAUGACUCUCUUAAGGUAGCCAAAUGCCUCGUCAUCUAAUUAGUGACGCGUAUGAAUGGAUCAACAAGAUUCCUUCUGUCCCUAUCUACUAUCUAGCGAAACCACAGCCAAGGGAACGGGCUUGGCAAAAUCAGCGGGGAAAGAAGACCCUGUUGAGCUUGACUCUAGUCUGACUCUGUGAAGAGACAUGAAAGGUGUAGCAUAGGUGGGAGGCUGCAGUAGGGCGCUGUUUGGUGUCUUUGUGGUCGCCAAUGAAAUACCACUACUUUGAUCGUUUCUUUACUUAUUCGGUAAAGCGAAAAAAUUGUGGCCAAUUUGGCGGUCUGUCCGCUGUUGGUCAUUGUUUUAAUGUUGGAUUGAAGCUUUGUUUAUAGCCGUCGCUUUGCGUCGCCGUUUGAUGCAUUGGCUGGGUGCGUUUUUGCGCGCGCGCGGUAAUGUUGUCAGCGGAUGAUCGGCGAUUGGUUUGAAGUGAUUCGCUCCGGAAACAGUGUCAGACGGGGAGUUUGACUGGGGCGGUACAUCUGUUAAACGAUAACGCAGGUGUCCUAAGGUAAGCUCAGCGAGGACAGAAACCUCGCCUAGAGUAAACGGGCACAAGCUUACUUGAUUUUGAUUUCCAGUACGAAUAAAAACCGCGAAAGCGUGGCCUAUCGAUCCUUUUGAUUGUGUAGAUUUCAUGCAAGAGGUGUCAGAAAAGUUACCACAGGGAUAACUGGCUUGUGGCAGCCAAGCGUCCAUAGCGACGUUGCUUUUUGAUCCUUCGAUGUCGGCUCUUCCUAUCAUUGCGAAGCAGAAUUCGCCAAGCGUUGGAUUGUUCACCCACCAAUAGGGAACGUGAGCUGGGUUUAGACCGUCGUGAGACAGGUUAGUUUUACCCUACUGAUGACAAGUCGUUGCGAUAGUAAUCCUGCUCAGUACGAGAGGAACCGCGGGAUCAGACAUUUGGUUCAUGCGCUCGGCUGAAAGGCCGGUGGCGCGAAGCUAGCAUCUGCAAGAUUAUGACUGAACGCCUCUAAGUCAGAAUCUUUUCUAGUCAUUGGCAACGAUAAGUUGCGUCCGGACUCGAUGCGAGGAAACGAUUAGGCUUUGCUGUGUUUUGCGCAGCGAAGCCGUCAUCAUACCACGGUAGCAGGCAGUUGGGAUGGUUACGAAAAAGCAAUUUUUUGAAGUCAGUUGAAUUCAAUCAAACUGCUAACAAUCCCACUGCGAAUGACUACACUCGAAUCU
RNAcentral lists this ribosomal RNA (3292 nucleotides) under Trichinella zimbabwensis. RNAcentral describes it as "eukaryotic LSU rRNA". It matches the Rfam family "Eukaryotic large subunit ribosomal RNA", at positions 670 to 3401 of the family's 3401-position model. The record is from RNAcentral. Lineage: Eukaryota; Metazoa; Nematoda; Enoplea; Trichinellida; Trichinellidae.